AUUGAAAAAUAGCACAACAAACAUUUUUAAAAAAGCCCCUCGUCUCUCUCAAUUAUUUGAUCCACACCCACAUGGAAAACCGAAGCCAAAACCCACGCGAAGCCACCUCCCCGAAUUCCCCAACCCGCCAUGCCCGACUCCGCCGAUCCCCUCCCCACGCAAGCCUCGCCGGAUCCGGACAUGCCGCCGCGGAAGCCUACAGCUGGCUGCGGCGGCGGCAAGCUCAAGAAGCCUCUCACUGACAAGCAGCGCGCUGCCGCGGAGCAGCGCCUGUCCCACCUCCGCGCCCACCUCAUCCUCCGAUCCCUCGAGUCCUCAGCUGCCGGGGCCCGUGCCCUACCGCCGGCGCAGGAGGCGGCGCUCGAUGCCCUAGGUCUGCUCGAGUUUUUCCGCCUCGACCUGCAAUCCGACACCCUGCGCCCCGACCUCAUCGCCCCGCUCGUCGCCUACUACGACCCGGUCUGCAAGCGCAGCUUCGUCCGAGGCGUCCGUGUCGCCGUCUCGCGCCACAACUUUACCCGCGCGCUCUGCCUACCCUCGAAGCCCUCCCCCUCGGCGCCGGCCCCAGCCGACAUCGACCCCGCAGCCGUGGUGCCUGCCGUUAUGCAGCUCCUGAAGGAUUACGUUCUGCUCCCGUUCCUAGGAGACGACAUGUGCAUACUGCCGCAGGAAGUGGCCGCCGCGGAGCAGGCGGUCAGGGAGGGGGCGGCGCAUAGGGUUGACUGGGCGGGCCUGAUGUGGGGCCUCGUCGAGAAGGAGAUCCUCGAGCUGCCUAAGAGGGAAGACGGGGUGUGCUACUACGGGCCUCAUCUGCAGAGGCUCAUUUAUGCCCAAAAGCCACAUUUGUUGGAGCUGGUGGAGGAAGGGGGCACAGGAGAGCCUGCUCCGGAGGCAUCCACUGAUGUGGAGAUGGAGGAGGAUGGUGAUGUGGAUAUGAAAAGCAAGAGCUUGGUGGAGCUGGAGCUGGGGGAUAGGGAUGGGGAUGCCAGUAACGACGUGAGGAGCAAGAGCUUGGAGGAGUCGGAAUUGGGAAAUGCUAGUGCAAGGAGUGAUGGUUUGGACGAGUUGGAAUUGGGGGUUUCUGUUACUAGGAACAAGGUCAUGGAGGAGUUGGGUUUAGGGGAUAUGGAUGACAGGAACAACAGUAUAGAGGAACUAGAGGUGGUUGAGGAAGAUGCAAGGAGCAAGAGGUUGGAUGAAUAUGAGUCUGUGGAUGUGGAUCCGGAUGCCAUGGAUAACAAUAUAGAUGAAAUAAACACAGUCAAUGAAGACUCAAGGAGGAAAAGCUUGAAUGAAUCUGAGACUGUGGAUGUGGAUCCGGAUGCCAUGGACAACAAUAUAGAUGAAAUGCAGGCGGUCAAUGAAGACUCAAGGAGCAAGAGCUUGAAUGAAUCUGAGGAUGUGGAUGUGGAUCCGCAUGCCAUGGACAACAAUAUAGAUGAAAUGGAGAUGGUCAAUGAAGAUGCAAGGACCAAGAGCUUGGAUGAAUCUGAGGCUGUGGAUGUGGAUCCGGAUGCCAUGGACAACAAUAUAGAUGAAAUGGAGGCAGUCAGUGAAGAUUCAAGGAGCAAGACCUUCAAUGAGUCUGAGUCUGUGGAUGCCAUGAACAACAAUAUAGUCGAAUUGGAUGCGGUCAAUGAAGACACAAGGAGCCAGAGAUUGAAUGAUGAAUCAGAGUUGGUGGAAGAGGAUGUUAAGGGUCCAAACUUAGAUGACAAGAACACUGCGGAUGAGCAUGUCAAUGGCACAAACAUUGAUGGAAUAUGUUUGGGAUUUGUGGCAGUUGAAGUGGUGCCUGCUGUACAUGAGGCAAGGCUUGACAAUAAUGAGGAAACAGCAGAGGUAGCACCAAUGGGGGGCGAUGAUGUGCCAGUGCCUACAGAUGUGGAUGGUGAAGAACCCUUGGUGGAGGCAGCAGCUGUAACACAGGAGGUAGUGGCUGUUGCAGAGGAAUUGGGGGAUGAUGAGGCUGAGGAGGAUGAAGAGAAGGAUGCAAUGGGAUUGAGCUUGGGGUUUGACUCUACCAAUGGUUAUGUUGCUAUGGAUGUGGAAGAGGAAACUAAUGUUGAGAAUCUGGACGAGGAUGAGAGUGACAGUGCCAAUGAAGAGGCAGAGGAGUCAGAGGAUGAUGCAUUUGAGGUUAAUGAUGGAGAGGACAUGAAUUGGAGAAUUGGGGAUGGCAGGGGGGAUGAGGGAAUGUCACAUUCUUUGCAACGCUGUAACACAUUUGGAGGCAUGGAGUUUGAGAACCUGAAUGAAGGGGAGACUGUAAUGAAGGAUGAGUUGAGGUUUGAUGAUUUCCCUGCGAGGGCAUCUUCAGAAAGGAUGACACCAUCAAACCUCCUCCAAGCCAUGAACUCAAUUCCCUCAACGUACAAUGUAGCAGGGAAUGUGCAUGAUCUGCCUUCUGGGGAUUUCUUGGCUAUGGGGGCUGAUGCACAUAAGAAUGGAGUGGAUCUGGGACCAGGGAGCUCAUAUUUAUUUGGGAAUAAUGGUAAGAGGAAUAUUGAUGAUAUUGAUGGUUACGAUGACAAUAUGCAGGCGCAAGAGGACUUUCCUCAGUCUAAUCAGCAGAAGAGGAUGCGCCAUAGUAACAGUGGCAACAUAUCACCUGGAUCAGGCUUUUUCAACGCAAGCUUUUCGGUACCUAUACAGAACUUGAUGGUUGAGGCAAGCAGGCUCUAUGAGCAGAAGGAGCAAAAACUUCAGAGUUUGCAAUUUGAGAAACAACAUUGGUCUGACAUGCUGCAAGAGAAGGAAGCCAUUAUCCAAUCCCUAAACUCAGCUCGGUUUGAGCAACAGAACAAGUAUCAAGUGGAGCUUAGACGCUUCGAGCAUGAUCUGAAUGUUAUGGCCCAUUUGGUAACUACCUACAAAAGAGCUUUAAAACAGACCCGGGCUUCUUUUGAUGAGUACAGGAAGAAGUUCCCUUGCAAUGUUCCUCUUUAUGAUGAUGUUGCUGGUGGUGGUGGUCUUGUUCUUAGUGUGAGGGAGUUGGAGAAGAGGCGGUGUGAGGAGGAGCAGCAAAAAAUUGCCAUGGUAAAUGAUAUGAUCGAAAGAUUCCAGUACAAAUGGUUCUCAAAGCUUGAAGAGUGGGGACUGUCUGUCAACUCACUGUGGAGCAGAAUGGAAGGACUCUAUAAGGAGAUUGAGCUUCUGAAGGAAAAUAGAAGAUCAAGAUUUGCUACCCCAGCUACAGAGGAAUCUCUAGCUACAGAAGAACCUACCCCAGCUACAGAGGAAUGAGUUCCCUGACAGUCAGAGAUACAAUCGGCCGUAAAUGAGGACCGGAUGAGUUUUCAGGAGAUGCAAGUGGACACGCAACCAUUUCCUGUCAAUAUGAUAGAGCUAGCAAGCAAAAAGGUCUUGGUUCGGCCCGAAGUGGCUGAUAAAGGCAAAGACAAAAACAUGUCAUCGGUGAUCCUCGCACGUUGAGUAUAUCACAAGGAAGGAUUGCUCGGAAGAUUCGGGACAAGAAGACUAACAAGUUCGGAGGCGUCGGGGGGCAGACUCAGUCGAGCAAAGCUCCCUAACGCGAGCAUCGCGGGCCGUCCGAGCCCUAGGUACGGACCAUCCGAUGCUGAUGUAGACGGUCCGAUUGACUCAGUCGGACAGUCCACCCAUGGCCAGAGGCGUCAGCCUCUACACAGUGAAAAAGGAGACACAGGGGCAAAGCACACAUGGUCGGCUGGUCAAAGCCGACCCGGCUCUACUUUUGAUCAGUUGCUCUCCAAACAUGCUAGCAAGAAGACCGUUCUAUGUGAUCGGCCAACAAAGAAACUCCGGUCACCAGCUAAAACGAAACGGCCGAAUAAAACGCCCCGAAAGGUGACGCAACAUAAAGAGGUGCUACAGGAAAAAGGUGUUGUUAGAGCCACAUAAAGAGGUGCUCCAGAAACUCUAGGUUUUUGUGGAGCAGCUCCACGGUGGAGUGUCUCGAGCAGUCCCAAACAUGCCCUAAGUUCAGAUGUGAAUAUGACUCCCAGUCACUCCGCUAGAUGUUUUGAUGUCAACGAGCAUACAUUCCCUCUGCUGGAUGACUCCCAGUUAGUCCCUACCCUCUGCUGCCACCAAGAGUGUGGCUGCCUAUUGGUACAUACUGUAGCAAGGAUAAAUAGUUUCGCAAGUAACCCUGCUUGUAUCCUCAUGUGGGAUAUUUUGAUUAUUAGUGAUCAAGGCCCUGUUUGUUUCCUUCCAGGAUUAUUAGUGAUUAAGGCCCUGUUUGAUAAAUAGUUCUCUAGAUUAUAUAAUCCACCUAAUAAUCUAUGAUGUUUGUUUGCCUCCCAACUUAUUUAAGCUGGAUUAUAUAAUCUCGAGGGUAAACAAACAUGGCUUAAUUCAGGUGCAUUUAGGGUUUCUUAAUCUA
Molecule: RNA transcript, 4366 nt
Organism: Zea mays
Lineage: Eukaryota; Viridiplantae; Streptophyta; Magnoliopsida; Poales; Poaceae
Exons: 3
Source: RefSeq, a predicted model, not a curated record